GGAUUGUGGCUCAGUGGUAGAGUGCUCACCUAGCAUGUGCAAGGCUCUGAGUUCAAUCCUUAGCACCA
Molecule: transfer RNA, 68 nt
Filed under: Marmota monax (woodchuck)
Lineage: Eukaryota; Metazoa; Chordata; Mammalia; Rodentia; Sciuridae
Description: tRNA.Ala
Source: RNAcentral